GAUCUCGUGGGCCACCCGGACCCCCAGGACCACCAGGAGCCCCGGGCAAAGAUGGCAUCGAUGGAAAGGACGGACCGCCCGGACUUCCCGGAAAGCCUGGACCAAAAGGAAAAGAUGGAAUCCCAGGGACUGCAGGGAAACCCGGACUGCCUGGACUUCCUGGAAUAGACGUG
Molecule: long non-coding RNA, 173 nt
Organism: Neoarius graeffei (lesser salmon catfish)
Lineage: Eukaryota; Metazoa; Chordata; Actinopteri; Siluriformes; Ariidae
Exons: 3
Source: RefSeq, a predicted model, not a curated record